RNAcentral lists this transfer RNA (85 nucleotides) under Felis catus (domestic cat). It matches the Rfam family "tRNA". From Rfam's summary of the family: Transfer RNA (tRNA) molecules are approximately 80 nucleotides in length. Their secondary structure includes four short double-helical elements and three loops (D, anti-codon, and T loops). The record is from Rfam by way of RNAcentral. Lineage: Eukaryota; Metazoa; Chordata; Mammalia; Carnivora; Felidae.
GCCUGGUUGGCUCAGUCGGUUAAGCAUCUGACUUUGGCUCAGGUCACAAUCUCACAGUUUGUGAGUUUGAGCCCCGCAUCAGGUU